CGUGGGCGUAGCGCAGUCUGGAAGCGCGCUGGUACGUUGUACCAGAGGUCGUUGGUUCGAAUCCAACCGCCCCGACCA
This 78-nucleotide transfer RNA is filed under the name Candidatus Kaiserbacteria bacterium. RNAcentral describes it as "tRNA-Asn". It matches the Rfam family "tRNA". Rfam says of the family: Transfer RNA (tRNA) molecules are approximately 80 nucleotides in length. Their secondary structure includes four short double-helical elements and three loops (D, anti-codon, and T loops). The record is from RNAcentral. Lineage: Bacteria; Candidatus Kaiseribacteriota.